UUGCACUCUAUUUGAAAUUUAUAUGGUGUAAUUUCAGCCUCGGAGUGUGAAAGUUUAAUGACCACAUGUACCAUUAUGAAGCUGCGCUAGGUUGCUCUGAACUAAAGUCAUAAUAAUUAUGCGAUUGAUAGAAUAAUGUCAGUAAAUGUGCGGACAUUAAUAGGGCUGAGUUGGUGUGGUUCUCGCAGUGACCGCCAGAUGGCAGCCGCGCCAUUUGCGACCAGCGCUUCUGCUGUUCCUGAAACAAAGAACACAUUCAGAUACUGUAGCUAAAACACACACCAUUUUGUGAAACCUUCCUUUAAAAUAGUCUACGUAAUUUAGAAAAUCAGUAAUGCUGAUAAAAAAUACAAAUAAAUGUCUGCAAGAUGGUACGUUCAGAUACAAACGCAUAAUAAUCCAAAAUAACGUGGCUGAAUUAUUAUUAUGUAUGAACUUGUUCUCAUUAGCAGGGUUAUGUUUAUAAAAUUUUAAUUCUCAUAUGUUUAAAAACCACAAUGUAAGAUUUUUCAGAUUACAUUUAAAAAUUAUAAUAGAAUUUUGUUAAAGGCUACUCUAAAAUCUAAAGUUUUACUUUUCAAUUAAUUCUUAAUAAAAUCAUUCACAACUGUUUUAACAUUCAUUGAAACCAUAUUAAAAUAAAAGUGGGAGCUCGUGGCUCUCAUAUAACUGUACUUUUGAUAAAUAUUUCUGGUCUAGGCUCAAGAGUAGCUUCAUAUGAGCUAAAAGUAGAUCUAAAAAAAACAUUGUACAGCGUAAAUAAGUUUAACAAUUAACUAUAAGUUUAUGCUCUUGAAAAUCACAACCCUUUCUUUGCUCCAGUUUUCUCAAAGUGCUUUUUGGAAAUAAGUUUACCAUCAGUCUACACUAUUAAAUAACUGCUAAUUUAAAGGCAACAUUAACCAAUGCACAUAAUCGAUAACCAACACAAUGGCAUUCUCAUAAUCUCAGCUGGUUAUUAUUCAGUCAAUCAGAUUACACAUUACACAAUUCUGCUGAUGCCCACAGGUACCGCAUGCAAUUGUAAUGCAAUGAAAAAGUCACUGGCUUUUACCUUCCCAUAAGCAUGCUUGCAUAAAUUCAUUUGCUCUGUCUGUCCACACACAAUAAAAGUUCUAACACAACCGCAGCAUUAUAGAAGCAUUAGAAGAUGAGGAAAAAACCCAUCCCUACACAGGCGAGAACAAACAAAACAAGGCAGCAGCAUGUCAAUUAAAUUAAAGGGGGAAGCUAAAUGAACAAAACGUCAAAUGCACAUAUUAAAGCUAAAUGAAAUAGCCCCGAGGAGCCUGCGAGACGUGCAGAUUAGAGCUCAGGAGGAUCCGCAGAGAUGUAAAUAAUGAAACCCAGCUCAACCUGCACACGCUGGGAUUGCAGCAUGGACACGAGAGACGUUCAGCAUCCAAACUAAACACCAAAAAAACAGGCUAUUCAGCUCCAAACAUGUUGUUCAUCUAGAAAUGAGUUGAGCUGGCUGCCUAAAUUGUGUUAGUGAAAAGCAUGACCAGCACAACGGGACUGUGCUGUGCGUUAAAAACCUGAGGAUGUGAGUCUUUAAUGCAGAAGAUAAGCUUAUUAUACGAUAUGGCUUAUGGAAGAUUAAUACCAUCGGCAUAAAAAAUGUGGCAUUUUAAAGAUCUUGUAAGAAUAUUAGGUGUUUCAGCUCCUAAGGACUGUCUCGUAAUAUAGCACAGAAUUGUUUUUAUGUCCUGUUUUCUUGCUGUUAGCAGAGUAUAUACUCUUUAAAGUCAACUUGUCAUUCACAAUUUUACAUGCGUAAUGUGACAUAUUUAACAGAGUGAAACAGGAUCUUGAAAAAAAAAAAUGUAGGGUGGGAUUUUUAUUGUUAUUUUAUUAACCCAGUAGUUCUCAGCAAUUAGGACUCCAGUACAAUAUUUGAAGGUCAUUCUAUCACAGCAUAUAUUCACCUCUGAUACUUUGACUGUAAUAAAAAAUAAAUAAAUCAGAUUAAAUCUGUUCAGUGCUGAACAUCUUUAUUUUUUUAGUGUUUUUAAAAAGCAUUUUAAUUAAGAUUGUUAAUAUAAUCUACACAAUAUUAAGGGUUUUGUUAUAAUUAUCAUCAUCCUGACCUGGAACUACUGAUAAAAAUUAGCUAUCCUUAAUCUGGCUGCUUUUAUGUUUUAUUAAUUUGUAUCGUCCCUGAUUUAAAAAAAAAAAAAAAACUGAGGUUACAAAGGUUUGCCGAGGCCCCCUGAGAAUCACUGUAAUCAGUAUAAAACUGUUGAUCUGAUGGCAAAACAGAAUAGAAUUUGCUUAAAUAAGGCCUAAAUAGCUGUUUGAGUGUUAUCCAAUAGCCUGCAUGGCCUAAGUGAUGUCUUCAUAAAAGGAAAGUCGUUUCAGAGUAUGAGCAAGAUAUUUGAUUUUAAUUAAAGGUAAACCAUUUACUUUGGAACACAAAAGAUUGUAUUUUGAGAAAAGUCUCAGUGUUUAUUGUUAUUUUUUUUAAAAUAAAGAAUGUCAAAAGGGUUCAGGGUUAUUUUGGACCCUAUAUUGAUUUCAAGUGCAUGGCCAAAAAACAUUCUUUGAAAUGUAUUUUGCAGUAAACCUGGUCAGUUUACUAAAGCAGAUAUUUACUUUAUUCUGUGGAACACAAAAGAACAUUUUGAGAAAUGUCUCAGCAUUUUUUUUGUCCGUUAGAGUCAGUGUCGUUUUAGACCCUGUUGACUUUCAGUGUAAGGCCAGAAGCGUUUUCGAAAUAUCUUAUUUUGUGUUCUGCAGAGAGAAGAAAGACAUUCAUACAGCCGGGUUUGAAGUGACAAUUUUUAAGGUGAACUGUGCCUUUAAGAUCACUUUAUGUUAGUGUUCACCUCAGCCUAUAGAAUGCUCAUCUCAGAUGUUGAUAUAUUUCAUCUGAGACGUCUCUAAAGUCCACCAGCACGAUCAAUCAGACAUGCAUCAUCUGUAGCCAAUGGCUCCCUCCGAGUGAGAGCGAUCUGGCCUAAGUGUGUAUGCUUGACGCCUGCUUUGCUGAUUUCUGUCAGCGUUAAUAUGAGAAAUGAGCUCUGAGCUGUGCCACUGAUGUGCCUGAGGAAACUAAAUUGACGGGCACACAGUUUUCCGGUUUCAGAUGGGGCCUCCGUAGCUUCUUCUGCACUGAUGUGACUGCUCUCAGUCAUGCUGCCUUGUCCCUCAAGCAACAGGUGACAGAAGUUACAAGCAAAUGUGUCUUUGGCCAUGGCGGCCCUCCUAUGAGGACCUGACCCAGGGCAGGCUGUCUGGCAACAUGCCCGAUGGAGAAGUGAGCUGUCUCGACUCAGAGGAUGUCAAGUCACGUCUUCAUCGGAGAAGAGUUUAAUCCAUGUUUGAGAAAAAAAAAAAGUUGUCAUGGCUGAAGAGAUCUGAUCUCAGAACAGAGACAGAUUAUUGGUAGGAAGCUUUUUGUAAUUUUCUUACAGUAAUAGAUAGCCUUAAAGCAUUUGUUGUUGUUUGUUAAAACUAAAAAUGAUGAAUAUUAUCAUACAAUUAUUGUUGUAGACCAAUUCUGGUCUCUCAUUCUCUCUUUUGCUCUAUAGGGUUGUGUGUCUGUGUGGUGUGUGAUCUGUUUUGGUUAAGGAUGGAAUGGCGCCAGAGAGCAGGCUACUAGGAAUGAAAAGACCGCUGCUAUUCUGAAACUUAGUUUGAAUUACAUCCUGCAACUUAUGUGUGUCAUCAAAUCCUGCCAGGGUGGUGGUGCGCAAGAUGGAGGAAGGAGUGGCAGUUUGUUUUGGGGCCUGCGACGUGGCUGUCUUUAUAUUGUUGCGGGAGCCCGGUCUUUUCCUGUUCUUCGGCACUCUCUCGCUCUCUUCCUCUCAGCUCCAGACUGUUGGGCUUUAUUAACCCUCCUAAGCACGGGGGACCUAAGGGAGGUCAGACAUCGGUCGUUAAAAAUCUAUUGUGACUCGUCGGGAAAAUGAAUAAAUGAGCACAUUAUUCCCCCC
Molecule: long non-coding RNA, 3938 nt
Organism: Cyprinus carpio (common carp)
Lineage: Eukaryota; Metazoa; Chordata; Actinopteri; Cypriniformes; Cyprinidae
Source: RefSeq, a predicted model, not a curated record